Zingiber officinale is the source of this 399-nucleotide long non-coding RNA. RefSeq lists it as uncharacterized. The transcript is spliced from 3 exons. NCBI's taxonomy places the organism in Eukaryota, Viridiplantae, Streptophyta, Magnoliopsida, Zingiberales, Zingiberaceae. The record is from RefSeq and is a predicted model, not a curated record.
GCCUAGUUCCUCCCUGUGUACUGCCGCUGUGGCUCUUUUGCACAGUGCCGGCCAAUUUCUUCUCUGCCGCCGGCGACUAGAGCCACCGCCGAUCGCUCUGUGCCCUUCUACUUCUCUGCCGCCACUCUAACCGGAGCCGAGACCUUCUCACAGCAGUGCUGCCGGCCGGAAAUCCUCUGUGCCCUAGCUGUGAGCAUUUCUUCCUCCUCAGAGCAGUGGUGAUACGGUAUUGUGACAGAAAGAUCCUUGGUACAACAGAUCGGCGAUAUUAGAGUUGCCCUAUUCCGGCAGCCACUUUUUGUAGCAAUCGACAGCACCUUUCCUGCCUGUUGAAUUAAGGACUUUGAUUCGAGACGAGCAUCUCGACGUCCGAGUUGGACCAUUUCGAUUGGAGGCGGG